UACGUAGGGUGCAAGCGUUGUCCGGAAUUAUUGGGCGUAAAGAGCUCGUAGGCGGUCUGUCGCGUCGGCUGUGAAAUCCCGAGGCUCAACCUCGGGUCUGCAGUCGAUACGGGCAAACUGGAGUGUUGCAGGGGAGACUGGAAUUCCUGGUGUAGCGGUGAAAUGCGCAGAUAUCAGGAAGAACACCCGUGGCGAAGGCGGCUCUCUGGAACGCAACUGACGCUGAGACGCGAAAGCGUGGGGAGCAAACAGG
Molecule: ribosomal RNA, 253 nt
Filed under: uncultured bacterium
Lineage: Bacteria
Description: partial 16S ribosomal RNA
Rfam family: Bacterial small subunit ribosomal RNA
Source: RNAcentral